Homo sapiens (human) is the source of this 687-nucleotide long non-coding RNA. RefSeq lists it as uncharacterized. The transcript is spliced from 3 exons. The record is from RefSeq and is a predicted model, not a curated record. NCBI's taxonomy places the organism in Eukaryota, Metazoa, Chordata, Mammalia, Primates, Hominidae.
GAUCUUUCAAGCCCACCCACCACCUCUGGGGGAGGAGAGAGAGGAUGAAGGUUGACUUGAUUGCCAAUGGGCUUGCCCCUUCCUGGUCAAGACACUCCAGCAUUAGAAUCAAGAUAUCAUCCAGUUUUUUUCCCUGAUCUUUACUAAUUUCAGAGAUGAACAUAUUUUAAUCCGGGUCAGAUCAGCUCCUUGCAGGGAGGAAUUUCUAUCAUUCUCUUUCAAAUGUACAUCCAAGGGCAGAGUUCACAUGAAGACGUGGGCAAAAAAUGCUCUUCUGGCAUGUUCUCAAGUCAAGAAUCUCAUUCUGGGAAGAGUCCUGUGGAACCUACUCUCAGAUGUGAGCUAAUUAGUGAGCUGCACAUCAAAAGAAGUGAAGUGUAUCUUGUAAAUAGGAUUUCAUUUAAAACAGAUCAAAGAAAGAUCUACUGAAUCACUCCCUCAUCCACUGAUUUCUCCAAGCAUCAGGCAGACAGUGAAGAGAACAACAAGUCACGAGAAUGAUAAACAUAGCUCCAAAGAACAACUGUGAUGCUCAAGUCAAAUAUUAAUGAGAAGAGAGAACCAAAUAUAUCCAGGGGUGGAAUUAUACUUCCUGGGACAUGCAUGGUUGGGUUUCUGAUGUAGGCCAGGAGGGCAGUAAUCUGUGUUUGUGACCCAGUCUACUUCUAAAAAUACAAGGUUAGAAAU